Molecule: ribosomal RNA, 253 nt
Filed under: uncultured bacterium
Lineage: Bacteria
Description: partial 16S ribosomal RNA
Rfam family: Bacterial small subunit ribosomal RNA
Source: RNAcentral
UACGGAGGGUGCAAGCGUUAUCCGGAUUUAUUGGGUUUAAAGGGUGCGUAGGCGGAUUUAUAAGUCAGUGGUGAAAUCUCCCCGCUCAACGGGGAAACUGCCAUUGAAACUAUUUAUCUUGAGUACAUUUGAGGCGGGCGGAAUGUGUCAUGUAGAGGUGAAAUUCUUAGAUAUGACACAGAACACCAAUUGCGAAGGCAGCUCGCUAAACUGUAACUGACGCUGAGGCACGAAAGCGUGGGGAUCAAACAGG